This 253-nucleotide ribosomal RNA is filed under the name uncultured bacterium. Its description in RNAcentral is "partial 16S ribosomal RNA". It matches the Rfam family "Bacterial small subunit ribosomal RNA", at positions 524 to 776 of the family's 1533-position model. The record is from RNAcentral.
UACGAAGGGGGCUAGCGUUGCUCGGAAUCACUGGGCGUAAAGGGUGCGUAGGCGGCCUGAUAAGUCGGGUGUGAAAGCCCUGGGCUCAACCCAGGAAGUGCACUCGAAACUGUCAGGCUUGAAUAUGGAAGAGGGUCGCGGAAUUCCCGGUGUAGAGGUGAAAUUCGUAGAUAUCGGGAGGAACACCAGUGGCGAAGGCGGCGACCUGGGCCAAUAUUGACGCUGAGGUGCGAAAGCGUGGGGAGCAAACAGG